Molecule: long non-coding RNA, 325 nt
Organism: Herpailurus yagouaroundi (jaguarundi)
Lineage: Eukaryota; Metazoa; Chordata; Mammalia; Carnivora; Felidae
Exons: 2
Source: RefSeq, a predicted model, not a curated record
CUGGGUCUUAGAAGGUUAAUUUUUGAAAACUGCCUCUCUGUGGCUCCCUUGCCAGCCAGCCUCUGCUUAGAAGCAGCCAGUGGACUGAGAAAUGAAGGCAAAAGGAGAAUGACAGCUAAUUAUCCUGGCCUGUCUUCAGCAAGAAUCCCCCCUACCUUGAUGUCUUCUCUUAGUGAUUUUUCAUCCACCAAUCCCCCUCAUCUACUCGUUGGCUAUAAAUCCCCAGUGUUCUAGCUGUACGUGGAAUUGAGUCCAGUCCUAGACUGAAGGCUCUUUUCUGCUGUUGCAGCAGUCCCUGAAUAACAUCUGUUUUUAUCACUUUCAA